Molecule: long non-coding RNA, 2521 nt
Filed under: Daphnia pulex (common water flea)
Lineage: Eukaryota; Metazoa; Arthropoda; Branchiopoda; Diplostraca; Daphniidae
Description: uncharacterized LOC124199984, transcript variant X1
Rfam family: mir-10 microRNA precursor family (bases 2258-2331)
Source: RNAcentral
UGCCUCGUCGAUGGUCGUCGCCGCCGCUGUUCGCUAUUAUACACCGCCGUUGCCGCUUCUUCUUCUUCUUCUCUCUGCUCUGCUCUCUCUCGGUGCUUCACAGUUGGUAUAGAGUCGCUGCGUGCGCUGCUGCUGCUGCUCAACGCGCACAAGAGUUUUUCGAACCGGGGGGAAAAAAAGAGGGAGGGAGGUUUGUGUUACAGAGACCGACCGAUCGGUGAGACGUGUUUUCCCUCUCCAAGUUUUUCUUUCUUUCUUUUCUUUCUUAUUAUUUUUCUUUUUUUCUUUCUUCUUUUUCCCCUUCGUUCGUUUUUUUUUUCUUUUUCUCGUACCGGCGUUCGCGUCUGCCGUCCACUCAACGUGAUUUCCCAUUCCACGUCAAACCACUCGCCGUCCCGCACGCUGACGCAGAGGUUGCUCAUCGCAAGGCGUUCGUUCCUGCUACUUUCAUCUCUCUGCCGACUUCCAUCUUUUUUUGGCGUUCGUCAACUUUUCGCUGCAAAGUAAAAUCGUCGACCAAAGAUGGACUCAACAACACUGCAGCAACAGAGGAGAAGAAGAAGAAACCAAACAGCUACUUGAAUUUGAUGCCGGCUCAUCAUUUGUCAAUGUCGUCGCCGUGGCUGGGCGACAAGGAAAUUCAAACCCCUUCCACGCAGCGUCCCUCACGAUAAUAGAGGUUUCCUAUGGUCGGCCCAUGUUUCCCAUUUUAUGACUGUGUCCUCCUACACAUCGGCUACUUCUACCACGGGUGGACCCGAAAGCAAAGAGACAAAAAAGGGACCCAAAUUGGGGUCUAUAAACACACACACACAUGUCCCCGAAGAAGAAGAAAGGAAAAAUUUGCCAAAAUUGGUGACACACGUGCUGCUGCUGGGCUACAUCUAAUUUUGGCUGCUGCGGGACAUUGGGUUUAGCACACGCCCUUCAUCAACAAUCAAUGUCUCUCCUUCGUCCCAACUGGAAAAAUAACCUGUCCGUCUCCGGAAUCAUUUUGGGCAAACGGGUUUCUCUCUACACAAGUUACCCGGCGCAGGUGUCUAGACUUUCUCUCAACAAUUCCUUCAAUUGCUUCCAUCGACGUCAUUCAGUCUCAACUCUUUUUUUGGGGAGGGUUGUUUACAAACACCCGCCCUUAACGAGGAUGAGGACAAUUUGACCUAGUCGCCUGACUCUCGUGUGAUGGCAAACGCCUUCGAUCCGCGAGUCUGCCAGCACAGACCCAUAAACAUGGAGAACGAAAAAGGAAAAAAAAAAGGAGCUCUGAUUUUGUUUUCAGUUGUGGAUUUUUAGCGCGUCAUGUUAACGGUGGCUGCUGCCUGGACAUUUUGUCGAAAACCGGCUCCUGAAGUUCAAAAGUCUCCUACAGCUAAAGCUACCGUACAACUAAAUAUUCAACCAUUCACCGCCGCUUCAGCUCCCAGAAAAGAAAAAGAAAAAGAAAAACUCGAACGAAAACAAGAUUCCAUUCUCGUUCCGAUUGGAAUAAUCGAUUCGGCAAAGCAGAUAAGACUACAACAAUGUCUUCUCGACAAGCCAUCGGAAUUCAGAGCUUGUCGAACGAAACGCCACGCCACAAAAAAAAGCAUUUCUUUCAUCCAAUCGACGAUUUCCAAUUCCGUAGUCGACUUCGAUAUCGCCCAGCAAACGGGUGGAAAAAAAUGUUUCAAUUUUGAAAGGCUGCUGCUACUGCUACGAUGACCUUAUUCCUUUGUUCUAAAUUUGCGCUCGACUUUUACACACACACAUGUACGUGUUCUGCCCUCGUGUGUAUGUGCUGUCGCAGCUCUUUUUUUUUAUUAUUUUCUCUAUCGGGUUUGCUGGCUGCGUUUGAUGUGGACGAGAUAAAUGGAACGCCCUCUCCAGCACCAUUACCGUUGAUGAAUGGAUUCCCCUACUGCUUGCUACCCCACAAAACCUCCCAGAUAUAGACGCGUGCAUCCGGAAGGAGGAUGCCCAAGACAUGCACCGUUGAAGAGCCAAAAAAGAAAACGCAACAUUUCUAACUCAAUCGAAUUUAAAGUGAAUAAAGAUUUAAAAAAAAGGAAGAAUCCCGGGAAAACGGAAGGUAAAAUAAAUAAAUAAAGGAAAAACCAAAAGGUGUCCGUCUAGACGCGAUGCAUCACGUUUCCGGUCUGAUUUGACGCAACUGGGAUUCGUUCGACCAUAUGAAAAUUUAAAUUGAACGAAAAAUUGUCUGAGCGAAUACUGAUAAGAGAUUUGAGAUCAUCAUCACAGCGUGACAGUUCAUCAUGCUCUACAUCUACCCUGUAGAUCCGAAUUUGUAGUUGCAUCACAAGACAAAUUCGGUUCUAGAGAGGUUCGUGUGGGGCAUAAACAGCUACAUGCUAAAACUACGUUUUUCUCAUCUCGCAAAUGCACCAACCAUCACUUUUAAAACACUUAUGCAAUUAAAUUUAAGAAAAAAUAUUUCGAAUUUUUAAAAGAAUAUUUCAUACAACCGUUUUCCCAUGUUGACAGAUAACGCUAUCCAACAAAUAAACUUGACUUUUGCAAUUUC